Molecule: ribosomal RNA, 497 nt
Filed under: uncultured bacterium
Lineage: Bacteria
Description: partial 16S ribosomal RNA
Rfam family: Bacterial small subunit ribosomal RNA
Source: RNAcentral
GAUGAACGCUGGCGGCGUGCCUAAUACAUGCAAGUCGAGCGAACAGACGAGGAGCUUGCUCCUCUGACGUUAGCGGCGGACGGGUGAGUAACACGUGGAUAACCUACCUAUAAGACUGGGAUAACUUCGGGAAACCGGAGCUAAUACCGGAUAAUAUAUUGAACCGCAUGGUUCAAUAGUGAAAGACGGUUUUGCUGUCACUUAUAGAUGGAUCCGCGCCGCAUUAGCUAGUUGGUAAGGUAACGGCUUACCAAGGCAACGAUGCGUAGCCGACCUGAGAGGGUGUUCGGCCACACUGGAACUGAGACACGGUCCAGACUCCUACGGGAGGCAGCAGUAGGGAAUCUUCCGCAAAGGGCGAAAGCCUGACGGAGCAACGCCGCGUGAGUGAUGAAGGUCUUCGGAUCGUAAAACUCUGUUAUUAGGGAAGAACAAAUGUGUAAGUAACUAUGCACGUCUUGACGGUACCUAAUCAGAAAGCCACGGCUAACUACGUG